UACAGAGGGGGCAAGCGUUGUUCGGAAUUACUGGGCGUAAAGGGCGCGUAGGCGGCCUGUUAAGUCGAACGUGAAAUCCCCGGGCUCAACCCGGGAACUGCGUCCGAAACUGGCAGGCUUGAAUCCGGGAGAGGGAUGUGGAAUUCCAGGUGUAGCGGUGAAAUGCGUAGAUAUCUGGAGGAACACCGGUGGCGAAGGCGACAUCCUGGACCGGUAUUGACGCUGAGGCGCGAAAGCCAGGGGAGCAAACGGG
Molecule: ribosomal RNA, 253 nt
Filed under: uncultured bacterium
Lineage: Bacteria
Description: partial 16S ribosomal RNA
Rfam family: Bacterial small subunit ribosomal RNA
Source: RNAcentral